This is a long non-coding RNA of Erinaceus europaeus (western European hedgehog), 1307 nucleotides long. RefSeq lists it as uncharacterized. The transcript is spliced from 3 exons. Lineage: Eukaryota; Metazoa; Chordata; Mammalia; Eulipotyphla; Erinaceidae. The record is from RefSeq and is a predicted model, not a curated record.
CCAACGCUGGUGUCUGUCUUUUCCAGUGGUUUCCAGUGACAGUGACAGUGACUCAGAUCUCAGCUCCUCCAGCCUAGAGGACAGACUCCCACCCAGCAGUCUCCCGGCACCUUCUGCCCGCACACCUGGAGCUCCACCAGCCCACCGUGAGCAUUCCCCAGGUGGCAGCAUGGAAUCCCCCAAGACGUCAGAGAGCCAGAGCAGCCUGGCCAGUGAGACAGGGACAAGCCCUGCAGACCUGCAUGUGGGCACCUCACUGUCACAGGACCCAAAGAGCCCUGGCAAGCGGCACACCUGGGCAGGUCCACGCUGCUGAUACCGCCCCCAGCAACCCCUCUGCCUGGCCUGGUGCCUGGAGCAGCCUGUCCAGUGGAGGAGUUGGAGAGAGGCCACAGGAGCUGGGCCCUCCCUGCCUUCCUUCUGCCCAGCGCUGACCUGCCCUGCAGGACGUGACCUCCGGCUCAGCACACUGCAGCUUUAGGGCUGAGCCUGCUCCCCCAACAGUGCCUUUCUGCCCCCUCUCCUCCCACCCACACCCAGCCGUCCCACCCCACCGUGACCUCUAUUUAUUGUUCUCCCUGCCCUCACCCUCUGUAUUUAUCUCCAGGCUGCCCCGCGGCUCAUCUUCAGUUGUCUUGUUCUAGCUGGGCAGCAGGGCCUCAGACUAAUCCUGUGGGGCCUUCCCACAUGCACUGCAGUUCCUCCCUGCAGCCCAGUGGUGGGAGCAGCAGCAGCCUCCCCUUCACCAGCCUGGGAGCUGCGCUUGAAAUCUGGCUUCUUGGAGCCCCUCCGCCAGCCUCCCCGAUUAGAUUAUCACUCGGUCUCCCCUCAGUUUACAGAGCUGGAAAGGGCUCUGGUGAACACUGUGAAUUAGCUUCCACUGGAGAGUGGCCCUCAGCUGAGUCCCAGCCAGAGGUGAAGCUGCCCAAAGCCAUUCACUCAGUCACUUCUUUCUCUUCAGGAGCUUUGGCUUGGCAGGAAGAAGGCUUAUUUCAAAAUGCAGACAGAUGCUUCUGGAAAACCCCCUCCCUGAAGAGAGAGAGAGAGAGAGAGUGUGUGUGUGUGCCUCUGUGUGUGCCUCUGUGUGUGUAUUGGUGUCACACCCACCCAUCCCCUGCCCCAUGUCCCUACCAGACCUAGUCCUGGAAGGGACCCCUCUCCAUCACUCAGCCCUUCCCCCACACACACCAUCAUUAGCUUUUUUUGUCCUUGCCAGUGGCAGACAAUUUAAAAAAACAAAAACACUGUUCCCCAUGAUAAGUUAUGCUUCAGAAUAGAAAAACAAUAAAGAUUAAAAUUUGCAUCGA